RNAcentral lists this long non-coding RNA (1258 nucleotides) under Numida meleagris (helmeted guineafowl). RNAcentral describes it as "lncRNA (ENSNMEG00000010938.1)". Lineage: Eukaryota; Metazoa; Chordata; Aves; Galliformes; Numididae. The record is from RNAcentral.
CCUGCUGAAUCAAGGGCAUGUUUUCUUCCUAACACCCUUCUGACUGACAACUGCAAGGUGUUCGCAUGGCAGCCAGCUUCAUCUGUCUCUCUAAACACUGAGAGGACCACACCUGAAGUUCAGAGCAUGGCAAAGCACUGCCUUACAAAGUGAAUAACACUUGCUGCAAUAAUUCCAUGAAACUCAUUUGACUAAGUUUCUGCUUUCAUCAGAUUCAGUAAAACCGAUAGCGAUCUUCUUUUAGCUUAGCACUGGAAGCGGCGACGCAGCUUUGCUCAAACCCUCCUUCCUCCCAUCACUUGGCAGAGGGGCUCCCACGGACCCAAGGUGUGGGGCUCUGCGCCCUCAGCACUACACGUGGAGCUCUGCACUUCUGGGGCAGCCUCCUCUGCGUGCCUGCCAGAAGACGUUUCAGCUCGUGCUCAAUCCCAUCUGCCCUAAUGCAUUCCCCUUUCAUUUUGCCUCCAGCUCUCGCUCACUACAUGCAGCUUGUAAACUAAUACUAAGCCCACGCUGAACCCGUUGAGCUAAGGUUUGAGCCAUAAAAGCCUUUUGCAGCUCUUACUAUAUCUUGGUGAAAAAUAAACACGGAAGUUUAGAAGCCCCAACUCAUUCUUGGUCAAAUAUUCAAUUUGCAAAACAAUUAUACAUUCCCCCCUUCCAUGCUCUCCUUUGAAAAAAAUAAGGGAAAGUAAACUGUUAACAUUUAUGGUAGUUGACAAACUUCCAUCUUCGUGUUAAUUACUAGUUCUAAGAGCAUGGAAGCAGACAUAUUCAGCACAUCCUCAGCUUCCUAUUUUGUGUUACUUUUUAGUGUGGUGCCCUCAACAGGAAUCAGAGCCCACAGAAAAUGAAGCCUUCAUCCAAAGUCUGCAAUGCAGUUCAGAGAGUGCAGCCCAGCUGGUCUGCAGCAGCCACACUUCUCACCUCUGUCUUCGAGACCACUAGCAAACAGCCUUCCCACCACCACCUUUAAUAGGUGCACGUGCCAACUUCAUUUGGAACCCUCUAAGGAAAGAUCUGCAGUGGCUGCCAGCCUUUCUACAUCUGCUAGCAUGUCUUUCAAAGCUCAGGUUUAUUUCAGUGCAUUUUUACAACUGGGCUUAAAGAAGAUGUUCCAAAAUCUGUGAAAGAAUCCCUGACUUUCCUUUUGGGGACCAAGUACUGGGUGAGAAAAGUCCAGGACAGAGAAGCCCGAUGGCAAAAAAUAAUUGAAAUAAUGUUCAGGGGAAAUAAAGGAAACUAUUUUUGAAUAGCA